Molecule: ribosomal RNA, 451 nt
Filed under: uncultured bacterium
Lineage: Bacteria
Description: partial 16S ribosomal RNA
Rfam family: Bacterial small subunit ribosomal RNA
Source: RNAcentral
GUAGGGAAUAUUGCACAAUGGGGGAAACCCUGAUGCAGCAACGCCGCGUGAGUGAAGAAGGCCCUUGGGUUGUAAAGCUCUUUAGACUGGAAAGAAGCUUAUUAAGGUGAACAAUCUUAGUAGGUGACGGUACCAGUAAAAUAAGGACCGGCUAAUUUCGUGCCAGCAGCCGCGGUAAUACGAAAGGUCCAAGCGUUACUCGGAAUCACUGGGCGUAAAGCGCGCGUAGGCGGUCUUAUAUGUCGAUUGUGAAAGCCCCAGGCUCAACCUGGGAACCGCAGUCGAAACUGUGAGACUGGAAUGUUGGAGAGGGUGGGGGAAUACCUAGUGGAGAAGUGAAAUUCGUAGAGAUUAGGUGGAACACCGGAGGCGAAGGCGCCUACGUGGCCAAACAUUGACGCUAAGGCGCGAAAGCGUGGGGAGCAAACAGGAUUAGAUACCCCGGUAGUCC